This 265-nucleotide ribosomal RNA is filed under the name uncultured bacterium. Its description in RNAcentral is "partial 16S ribosomal RNA". It matches the Rfam family "Bacterial small subunit ribosomal RNA", at positions 1227 to 1500 of the family's 1533-position model. The record is from RNAcentral.
ACAAUGGCAGGUACAGCGGGAAGCCAGGCGGCGACGCCGAGCGGAACCCGAAAACCUGUCUCAGUUCGGAUCGGAGUCUGCAACCCGACUCCGUGAAGCUGGAUUCGCUAGUAAUCGCGCAUCAGCCAUGGCGCGGUGAAUACGUUCCCGGGCCUUGUACACACCGCCCGUUAAGCCAUGGAAGCCGGGGGUGCCUGAAGUGUGCAGCCGCAAGGAGCGCCCUAAGGUAAAACCGGUGACUGGGGCUAAGUCGUAACAAGGUACC